GAAGAUGGUAGCUUCCAGCGUGUCUUUAAAAAGCCAGAUCAUAAUUGACCAUCCUUUGGAAGAGACCUAGCAAUCAUAUCAUAGUAAUAUACAUUUAAAGCUCGCUACAUCAUAUAAAGUGGAAGAACAAAUGCAUACGCAGGACACUGAAGGUAACAAAAACUUUUCAAAGUACUCGGAAACACAAACCUCUAGAAUCUGUUGCCAAUCUUUUCCCGUUAACUGAAAAAAGAAAAAACCGAUAAAGAUGCUUAUUAGGCCCAAAUUGCUUUAAGGUUCAUUAAACACUCAUAGCUAUAAAAGUACAAAACAGAUUAAUUAGCUUUUCCAAAAAAGGAAGCAUCCUUAAACAAAGACUGGAAAAGAUAUGCAACUAAUGGAAAAAAGACGAGCACAUCCAAUAAAAGUAAAUUGCAGACCUUGUGCAGAAUGAUGUCAAAAGGACCUUGUUUUGAAAGAGGAAGCCCUUGGUCGAUUGCAACGAAAUGAAUGCCCUUCUUCCUGCAUCAAUUUUGUAAGCCCUAAUAAACACAAGGAAUUACAGUUUCUAACUGUUUAAUAAAACGAAAAAACAUUAACUACUAUAGUGAAAAU
This 594-nucleotide long non-coding RNA is filed under the name Ananas comosus (pineapple). RNAcentral's name for it is "long non-coding RNA (ACOM_LNC036480)". Lineage: Eukaryota; Viridiplantae; Streptophyta; Magnoliopsida; Poales; Bromeliaceae. The record is from RNAcentral.